This 402-nucleotide ribosomal RNA is filed under the name uncultured bacterium. Its description in RNAcentral is "bacterial SSU rRNA". It matches the Rfam family "Bacterial small subunit ribosomal RNA", at positions 355 to 774 of the family's 1533-position model. The record is from RNAcentral.
UAGGGAAUCUUGGACAAUGGGCGAAAGCCUGAUCCAGCCAUGCCGCGUGAGUGAUGAAGGCCUUAGGGUUGUAAAGCUCCUUCGCCAGGGAAGAUAAUGACGGUACCUGGAUAAGAAGCCCCGGCUAACUUCGUGCCAGCAGCCGCGGUAAUACGAAGGGGGCUAGCGUUGUUCGGAAUUACUGGGCGUAAAGCGCACGUAGGCGGCUUUCCAAGUUGGAGGUGAAAUCCCCGGGCUUAACCCGGGAACUGCCUCCAAAACUGAAAGGCUAGGGUCCGAGAGAGGUGAGUGGAAUUUCCAGUGUCGAGGUAAAAUUCGUAGAUAUUGGAAAGAACACCAGUGGCGAAGGCGGCUCACUGGCUCGGUACUGACGCUGAGGUGCGACAGCGUGGGGAGCAAACA